This is a long non-coding RNA of Anastrepha obliqua, 1269 nucleotides long. RefSeq lists it as uncharacterized. The transcript is spliced from 3 exons. The record is from RefSeq and is a predicted model, not a curated record. Lineage: Eukaryota; Metazoa; Arthropoda; Insecta; Diptera; Tephritidae.
ACCCUUAUUCUUGAUUAACUUACUCUUAAUCAAUGGCAAGAAUAUAGUACGUGGACUAUCUGGUGGUGCUACACAUAAAGCUGGUAAAUUCUUUGCGGCAGAUGAUACGUGAACUACCAGAUGGACUAAAAAAAUUGAGAUGGAUGAAAAUGGGCUCCACAAAGCAGCAUUUUAUAUACCUGAUGAAAAAAUGAAAUUGUGGGUUGAUCAAAAAAAUUUGGCUGUAAAUUGGGCAACACCUAUAUUCUCAAUGACAAGGGUAUUAAAAAGUAUACUACAGAUAUGUGACAUGUUAGUUGUGUGAUGGUAAGUAAGUGUCACUCUACACUUCAAGCCAAUUAAUAUACUCCAGGCUUCCAAGUAUCAAAUUUCCUGCUAAAAUAACCGGGUUUGCCGAAAUCAAGACGCAACAAAGUUUUAGCUGGUGAGCGUAACAUAAGCGGGCUUCUGUUAAAAAAUAUAUGUUGAAAAUGUUAUGUUAAAAUUGUUAUGUUAAAAAUGUGUAGCGGAAAAAGCUGAUGUUUUUAUCGCAAAAUACCUUUUUUUCCUAUCCUUCUUAAGAAUUCAUUAAUAAUGGUCAUAAGAAUGAUAAACUCUUAUUGUGCAAGAAUAUGUUUCUUCUGAUUUGGUCAGCGCAGUCAGUGGGCAUUUCAUUUCGCAUAACUUAUGCCAAAGUACAUUUACUCGUAUGAUGCGUUCUUAGUAAGAUCUUCUCCUUACUUACAAUAAUUGCUCCUAACAUAUUUAUAAUUUAAAGAAAAAAUUACAUACUUAGCAGAGGCAUUGAAUUUAAUUAGUAUACAAAUUAAGUAAUUUUUGAAUUCUCUAAAAUUUUUUCAAAUGCUAUCCAUCAUUAUUAACAUAUUAGAGCAAUUCACAAUGUUGGCAUGACAUUAACAUUUGGCGCAUACAGAUUUUGCUGUUAUCCUGCCAUGUUAAUUGGCCAUUGCUAUUAUGCCAGGCUGUUUGCUUUUAAUUAUGAAUCACCCUAUUUUAUGAAAUUAAAACAAACUACGAAAUUUAGAAGCAGUUAAGCGGUUAUACAAACAUUAAUAACUAAACAUAAAAGAUUGAGAGUUUUUGUACUACCUUCUAAGCACUAAAUUUUAAAUAAAAUUAGUUUAUAUGAAAAAAGUACUUCGUAAACAAAACUUUUUUAGACUGAUUUGCAGUCGCUGAAUACGAAAAUAUUUCCCAUAUAUUUUUCCAAAAAAGCGUUUUAGGGACAUAGGCUAAAAAAAUGUUUUUAAAGUCAUUUUGCAGUUACUG